AAGAAGGAAAGGAUUGGCUGAUACGGCAAGUUGAAAGGUCACGAUGGAGAAUUGGUCGAUUGGUGCUACAGUUGGAGACCGGCCUAUUGGCUCUGCAGUGUUUUGGCGGAUGGAGUUGGUAUAGAUCGGCCGAUUAAGGGGCUGGAGCAAUUGGGCCAAUAUGAGCUUAAAGUGAAUCGCAAAGAGAAGAUGAAGGGGGAUUGGCCCGCAGGAGUGCAACAACCAACUCCGAUACGAGUUGUAAAUAUUCGUUUUUUG
This 258-nucleotide long non-coding RNA is filed under the name Setaria viridis. Its description in RNAcentral is "long non-coding RNA (SVIR_LNC006721)". The record is from RNAcentral. Lineage: Eukaryota; Viridiplantae; Streptophyta; Magnoliopsida; Poales; Poaceae.